GUAUAUGUGACAUUUUAAUUUUAACGAUUGCUUUAUGUUUUUAAAUUUUCAGCAUGCUGGAACAGGAUUCUAGAAGAAUGAACCCUAAUGUGAGCCCUGCAAAUCAAAGGAGGCACCUUUUAGAAUUUUCUGCUAAAGAAGUACGGGACACAUCAGAUGGUAUCAUCCAGAAAAACAGCUACAGAUAUGAUCAUUCUGUUUCAAAUGACAAAGCUCUAAUGGUGCUAACUGAAGAGCCACUACUUUAUAUUCCUCCUCCUCCUUGUCAACCCCUGAUUAACACAACAGAAUCUCUCAGAUUAAAUCAUGAACUUCGAGGUUGGGUUCAUAGACAUGAAGUGGAAAGGACCAAGUCAAGAAGAAUGACAAAUAAUCAACAGAAAACUCGUGUUCUUCAGGGUGCUCUAGAACAGGGCUCAAAUUCUCAGCUGAUGGCUGUCCAAUACACAGAAACCACUAGUAUCAGGUAAGAAAUUAUCAAGAAGCUUUUGGCCAGGGAAUUUAAAAUAGCUUGUG
This 516-nucleotide long non-coding RNA is filed under the name Ictidomys tridecemlineatus (thirteen-lined ground squirrel). RNAcentral's name for it is "lncRNA (ENSSTOG00000033546.1)". The record is from RNAcentral. Lineage: Eukaryota; Metazoa; Chordata; Mammalia; Rodentia; Sciuridae.